CGUAAUCGUUAAUAAUACGAGUAAAAGGAAGUCGAAUGUAUUUAAUUAUAGCCACGGCAAUAUUCGAUAUAAAAAUUCAAAGUAUGCGCCAUAGAGGGUGUAGGAUUACGAAUAUAAUAAAAUCGAUAGCAAGAUGGCGCGUCUUAACUCGGUAUUUUCAACCAUGUCGUCUUUCUCUGUCUCUUUCCCUCUAAUUAUCACCUGCAUCCCGCCUUUGGAUCAGCUGUUCGUCUACCGCCAUGGCGCACGCGAUGUCAAAACGUCGGAAACGUUUUCCUUUUUCGCGAGUUUUCCCGGUCGAAAGGAUAUUCUCGCGAGUAUCGACAAUGUAAAUUACAAAUGUUACUACGUCGUAUGUCUCGUGUAUUAUGUAUUCGCAAAAAGCGUUGUUACAUUAUUCGUUGAUGUGAUAUUUUUCGUUUGUGAUAUCGUUGGAGUGUUGAACCGUUUGUAGAUUUUUGUGAUAGUGUAAGGGUUCAAUGAUGUGAGUGGUCGCACACACCGGAGAACAUCAAAUGUCAAACAUCACAAUGGGGUGAAUAAGGACACUGACGAAGGACGAUCUAGCAGAUUGCCAGAGGGUUUAAUUAAGAGGGCGUGUUGUUGGUGACUCGUCGUUGAUCAAUAGCUAAAGGGGUGCUACCAGUUACCCCAUAGGCUAGGAAUAUCUUCCUCGUCUCGACGCUUCUGUCUUUUCCCCUUCACGUCCGCGUUAUAUUCGGUUCUGUCUCUCAAUCUAUGUAACCCUUCUCUCUUCUCUCUCUCUCUCUCUCUAUCUCUCUCUGUCACUUUACCUUAUAUCUUUCUAUCUUUCUCUUUCGCCUCUCUUCGAAACGAGCUUCGAUUGCUGAGGCUGGACACUAAUACCCGACAGGCUCUUUGAUGUUGCCAGACUAUCAAGAGAGCCGUUGUCAUCGCGUUGUCAUGGAUACCUUUCGCUACUUCGCGUCUACUAUCUAGCUGAGAGGGAAGCUCUCUUGGCCUCCUUUCCCAUUUAGAAAUUAAGCGAUCUACCUUUCCAAUGGGCCCACGUAGUGUUGGCAGAUUACAGUAACGACAUACUUAUCGAUGACGCGUAUUAUGAAAUUAACUCGGUCUUUUCCUCCGUAACACUUCUUCGCUAUUCCAUCGAAUGUAUUCCCGUUCACUCGGAACGAUUAAGCGCACUUUGACUCGCUCGAAAUGAGAUCUUUGAAGGAACGAACGAACCAACGAACGAGAACGAUCCUCCUUGUCCUCUUGUCGUUGGAUUAUUGGAAUCGAGAGGGAAACAUCGUUGAAUUCUCGAGACGUAUAAUUUAAACUUUUACGUGCUACUCGUCCUCCUCGUCUUCUUUAUUAAGUAGUCUCGAGAUAAUUGAAAAGAAGUCAUUUCAAAUCGACAAUCGGAUAUUUGUCGUUCGAACGACAUAGAUCGACAGACUGCUUGACACAAAUUAGCUCGUUCGAGGAGAAUGUUGAUUUAGCGACCGGCAAUCGCUCGAUGUAUCUAUCUUUACCAACGUCGUAUGAACGCUGCUUGAAACGUAUGUAUGGUAUAAGCGCUCGUACAGCUCUCGUUCGAGUUACGUCGAUAUUUGUUCAACGUUUGACGAUACGUUCCCGUCUCUUCCACCAUCGUUUAAUAUUCGACCCUCGUUUGGUCCCUUUCGUUUGCCGACAUGAGAACAGUACACAAGAUUUUUCGAGGCGUAUAAUUUUCUUACCAAAUAAAUCCGACAUCGGUCCUCGUAUUUUUUCCUAUUAGAUUUUUUCGCAUCGCUAAAUCCUUUCCAAGAUUUUUCUUACAACGCAUUGAGAAGAACAUUUGUUGGGGUUUAUUAAGAAAAUAUUAAAUAAAUAAAUAAAAAGAAAUAAAAAAGAAAAAGGAAGGGAAGAGAGAGAGAGAGA
Long non-coding RNA from Vespula pensylvanica (western yellowjacket), 1890 nucleotides. RefSeq lists it as uncharacterized. The record is from RefSeq and is a predicted model, not a curated record. The transcript has 3 exons. NCBI's taxonomy places the organism in Eukaryota, Metazoa, Arthropoda, Insecta, Hymenoptera, Vespidae.